This 484-nucleotide ribosomal RNA is filed under the name uncultured bacterium. RNAcentral's name for it is "partial 16S ribosomal RNA". It matches the Rfam family "Bacterial small subunit ribosomal RNA", at positions 29 to 507 of the family's 1533-position model. The record is from RNAcentral.
AUUGAACGCUGGCGGCAUGCUUUACACAUGCAAGUCGAACGGCAGCGCGGGCUUCGGCCUGGCGGCGAGUGGCGAACGGGUGAGUAAUGCAUCGGAACGUGCCCAGUAGUGGGGGAUAGCCCGGCGAAAGCCGGAUUAAUACCGCAUACGACCUGAGGGUGAAAGCGGGGGACCGAAAGGCCUCGCGCUAUUGGAGCGGCCGAUGUCGGAUUAGCUAGUUGGUGGGGUAAAGGCUUACCAAGGCGACGAUCCGUAGCUGGUCUGAGAGGACGACCAGCCAAACUGGGAAUGAGACACGGCCCAGACUCAUACGGGAGGCAGCAGUGGGGAAUUUGGGAGAAUGGGGGCAAGCCUGAACAAGACAUGACGCGGGCGGGAAGAAGGCCUGAGGGUUGUAAACCGCGUUUGUGGGGGAAGAAAGCCUAUGGGCUAAUACCCCGGGGGGAUGACGGUACCGGAAGAAUAAGAAACGGCUAACUACGUG